This 412-nucleotide unclassified non-coding RNA is filed under the name soil metagenome. RNAcentral describes it as "partial contains 5.8S ribosomal RNA, internal transcribed spacer 2, and large subunit ribosomal RNA". The stretch from base 1 to 122 matches the Rfam family "5.8S ribosomal RNA", at positions 35 to 154 of the family's 154-position model. The record is from RNAcentral.
GAUGAAGAACGCAGCGAAAUGCGAUACUUGGUGUGAAUUGCAGAAUCCUGUGAACCAUCGAGUCUUUGAACGCAAGUUGCGCCCGAAGCCGUCAGGCCGAGGGCACGCCUGCCUGGGCGUCACACGCCGUUGCCCCCCCGCGCCCCGCACCCAACUCUUUGGGAGCGACCGCGGGGCGGGCUGAUGAUGGCCUCCCGUGCGCUCCGCCGCGCGGUUGGCCCAAAUACCGAGUCCCCGGCGACGUGCGCCACGACGAUCGGUGGUUGAGAGACCUCUGUCGCAAGUCGUGCGCGCCCGUCGCGUCACGCGGGCUCGCAUAGCGCCUCGCGCCGCACCCGGUGCGGAGCUUUCAACGCGACCCCAGGUCAGGCGGGGUUACCCGCUGAAUUUAAGCAUAUCAAUAAGCGGAGGA